RNAcentral lists this ribosomal RNA (674 nucleotides) under uncultured Bacilli bacterium. Its description in RNAcentral is "bacterial SSU rRNA". It matches the Rfam family "Bacterial small subunit ribosomal RNA", at positions 66 to 721 of the family's 1533-position model. The record is from RNAcentral. Lineage: Bacteria; Bacillati; Bacillota; Bacilli.
GCGGACUGAUGGGAGCUUGCUCCCUGAUGUUAGCGGCGGACGGGUGAGUAACACGUGGGCAACCUGCCUGUAAGACUGGGAUAACUCCGGGAAACCGGGGCUAAUACCGGAUAACCCGUUCCACCUCAUGGUGGAACGGUAAAAGAUGGCCUCUGGCUAUCACUUACAGAUGGGCCCGCGGCGCAUUAGCUAGUUGGUAAGGUAACGGCUUACCAAGGCGACGAUGCGUAGCCGACCUGAGAGGGUGAUCGGCCACACUGGGACUGAGACACGGCCCAGACUCCUACGGGAGGCAGCAGUAGGGAAUCUUCCGCAAUGGACGAAAGUCUGACGGAGCAACGCCGCGUGAGUGAUGAAGGUUUUCGGAUCGUAAAGCUCUGUUGUUAGGGAAGAACAAGUGCCGUUUGAAUAAGGCGGCACCUUGACGGUACCUAACCAGAAAGCCACGGCUAACUACGUGCCAGCAGCCGCGGUAAUACGUAGGUGGCAAGCGUUGUCCGGAAUUAUUGGGCGUAAAGCGCGCGCAGGCGGUCUCUUAAGUCUGAUGUGAAAGCCCACGGCUCAACCGUGGAGGGUCAUUGGAAACUGGGAGACUUGAGUACAGAAGAGGAGAGUGGAAUUCCACGUGUAGCGGUGAAAUGCGUAGAUAUGUGGAGGAACACCAGUGGCGAAGG